AGCGCCUCUAGCGGCUGUCAAUGAGACAGCCACAAGAGGCUGGAUUAACCCAUAGUUAAACAUAGCGGUUUCUCUGAAACUGCUAUGUUUACAGCAAAAAAGGUUAAAGCUAUCUGGACCUGGCACCCAGACCACUUCAUUAAGCUGAAGUGAUCUGGGUGCCUAUAGUGGUCCUUUUAAGGACACAAGCAAUUUUUGCAUGUUUGUGUUCAACUGUAAUUUGUAUAUCUCUCUUUUUUUUGUAUCAAUCCAUAUUAUAU
Pelobates cultripes (western spadefoot toad) is the source of this 260-nucleotide non-coding RNA. The record is from the annotation of a GenBank genome assembly. Lineage: Eukaryota; Metazoa; Chordata; Amphibia; Anura; Pelobatidae.